GACGGGGGGGCAAGUGUUCUUCGGAAUGACUGGGCGUAAAGGGCACGUAGGCGGUGAAUCGGGUUGAAAGUGAAAGUCGCCAAAAGUGGCGGAAUGCUCUCGAAACCAAUUCACUUGAGUGAGACAGAGGAGAGUGGAAUUUCGUGUGUAGGGGUGAAAUGCGCAGAUAUCAGGAAGAACACCCGUGGCGAAGGCGGCUCUCUGGGACGGUACUGACGCUGAGACGCGAAAGCGUGGGGAGCGAACAGG
RNAcentral lists this ribosomal RNA (249 nucleotides) under uncultured bacterium. Its description in RNAcentral is "partial 16S ribosomal RNA". It matches the Rfam family "Bacterial small subunit ribosomal RNA", at positions 524 to 776 of the family's 1533-position model. The record is from RNAcentral.